This 72-nucleotide transfer RNA is filed under the name bacterium SCGC AG-212-C10. It matches the Rfam family "tRNA". From Rfam's summary of the family: Transfer RNA (tRNA) molecules are approximately 80 nucleotides in length. Their secondary structure includes four short double-helical elements and three loops (D, anti-codon, and T loops). Further hydrogen bonds mediate the characteristic L-shaped molecular structure. tRNAs have two regions of fundamental functional importance: the anti-codon, which is responsible for specific mRNA codon recognition, and the 3' end, to which the tRNAs corresponding amino acid is attached (by aminoacyl-tRNA synthetases). tRNAs cope with the degeneracy of the genetic code in two manners: having more than one tRNA (with a specific anti-codon) for a particular amino acid; and 'wobble' base-pairing, i.e. permitting non-standard base-pairing at the 3rd anti-codon position. The record is from Rfam by way of RNAcentral. RNAcentral also lists the same sequence under 1 other name.
GCGGAAGUAGCUCAGUGGUAGAGCGCCUCCUUGCCAAGGAGGAGGUCGCGAGUUCGACCCUCGUCUUCCGCU